GGAUCAUUACACAAAUAUGAAGGCGGGCUGGAACCUCUCGGGGUUACAGCCUUGCUGAAUUAUUCACCCUUGUCUUUUGCGUACUUCUUGUUUCCUUGGUGGGUUCGCCCACCACUAGGACAACCAUAAACCUUUUGUAAUUGCAAUCAGCGUCAGUAACAAAUUAAUAAUUACAACUUUCAACAACGGAUCUCUUGGUUCUGGCAUCGAUGAAGAACGCAGCGAAAUGCGAUAAGUAGUGUGAAUUGCAGAAUUCAGUGAAUCAUCGAAUCUUUGAACGCACAUUGCGCCCUUUGGUAUUCCAAAGGGCAUGCCUGUUCGAGCGUCAUUUGUACCCUCAAGCUUUGCUUGGUGUUGGGCGUCUUGUCUCUAGCUUUGCUGGAGACUCGCCUUAAAGUAAUUGGCAGCCGGCCUACUGGUUUCGGAGCGCAGCACAAGUCGCACUCUCUAUCAGCAAAGGUCUAGCAUCCAUUAAGCCUUUUUUUCAACUUUUGACCUCGGAUCAGGUAGGGAUACCCGCUGAACUUAAGCAUAU
Molecule: ribosomal RNA, 535 nt
Filed under: Alternaria alternata
Lineage: Eukaryota; Fungi; Ascomycota; Dothideomycetes; Pleosporales; Pleosporaceae
Description: eukaryotic LSU rRNA
Rfam family: 5.8S ribosomal RNA (bases 175-328)
Source: RNAcentral